CCUGCGGAGGGAUCAUUACCGAGUUUACAACUCCCAAACCCCUGUGAACAUACCUAUACGUUGCCUCGGCGGAUCAGCCCGCGCCCCGUAAAACGGGACGGCCCGCCCGAGGACCCCUAAACUCUGUUUUUAGUGGAACUUCUGAGUAAAACAAACAAAUAAAUCAAAACUUUCAACAACGGAUCUCUUGGUUCUGGCAUCGAUGAAGAACGCAGCAAAAUGCGAUAAGUAAUGUGAAUUGCAGAAUUCAGUGAAUCAUCGAAUCUUUGAACGCACAUUGCGCCCGCCAGUAUUCUGGCGGGCAUGCCUGUUCGAGCGUCAUUUCAACCCUCAAGCUCAGCUUGGUGUUGGGACUCGCGGUAACCCGCGUUCCCCAAAUCGAUUGGCGGUCACGUCGAGCUUCCAUAGCGUAGUAAUCAUACACCUCGUUACUGGUAAUCGUCGCGGCCACGCCGUAAAACCCCAACUUCUGAAUGUUGACCUCGGAUCAGGUAGGAAUACCCGCUGAACUUAAGCAUAU
Molecule: ribosomal RNA, 520 nt
Filed under: Fusarium equiseti
Lineage: Eukaryota; Fungi; Ascomycota; Sordariomycetes; Hypocreales; Nectriaceae
Description: eukaryotic LSU rRNA
Rfam family: 5.8S ribosomal RNA (bases 168-321)
Source: RNAcentral